Molecule: RNA transcript, 3333 nt
Organism: Coffea arabica (coffee)
Lineage: Eukaryota; Viridiplantae; Streptophyta; Magnoliopsida; Gentianales; Rubiaceae
Gene name: nuclear pore complex protein NUP88-like
Source: RefSeq, a predicted model, not a curated record
CCUUCGACUUAGAAGGUCCCAAACAGAGGAAAGAUUGAACAAUUCCCUUCUUUUCUUUCGAAAUUCCCCAUCCAAACAGCGCGUAUAUGACGGAUAGACCUCCCUCUGGGGGAAAAAAAAAAGGAAAAAAAAAAAAGAACAGUUCAGUACUAUCUAGAGUGCGGAAGCAGCACGACGUCGUGGAGCAAUUAGCAACAGCGAAACUGGAGCCGAAGUUGUAAGUUUUGUGGGCGGAGGAGAGCAUAGUGCAGGACGGACGACACCCAAAUUGGCCGCGAACCGAACAGAGAGAGGGAGAGGGACACAAUGAGAUUCAAUUUCAACUUCAUAGGGCUAGACGAUUCCGGUGACGGCCUUGAAUCCCUAUCUUCUCCGUCUACUUCAACCCCAAAAGAAGAUGUUGAAUGGCUUCCGCUCCAACACCACCCUAUUUUCACUUCCGCUGCCGAUGGCGCUCUUCCUCCCUCCUCCUCAGCCUCCUCUAAAACGCUCACGAAUCUCUUGGCAUGGGAUGGAGCCUCGCGCCUCUACUUUUGGGACUCACAAAAACAGUGUCUCCACCGGAUUUCUGUUCAGCUUGGCGAGCCUGAUCCUAGUUCUAUACUCGCCGCUUCUCCUUCUAAGGUAUUACAAGCAGAUGUGCAGCUUAAUUACGAGGUCCAGAAAAUUUCCAUCAAUAGGCAUGGAUCUGCGAUGCUCCUAUCAGGUUCAGAUCGACUGUGCGUAAUGUAUCUAUAUGGAAAGACUUCAGUCAAGGACAAUAUUGUUAUCUGCCGGACUGUAACAAUAGGGGCAGAAAUAUACUUUCACAGAAGGAGUAUAAUCCGCAUGUUGCAAGUUUAUUGGCACCCUUCCAGUGAUACACAUCUGGGAAUCCUUUCUUCUGAUUCAGUAUUUAGAAUUUUUAAUUUGUCUAUGUCUCUUCAGCAACCAGAACAGGAAUACUAUUUGCAGCCUGUGAAGUUUGGCAGUUCAACUAGAGCUUCGUCAAUCUGCCCUGUUGAUUUCUCCUUUGGUGGCAAUCAUUUAUGGGACAGAUUUAGUGUUUUCAUUUUAUUCAGCGAUGGAUCAGUUUAUGUUCUUUGCCCCAUUAUACCAUUUGGAAGUGUUUACAAGUGGGAGGCGUUGCAGGAAAUUUAUGUUGAUGCCAAAACAUUUGGGUUAAAUUCUACCAACUCAAAAGCUGUUAGUAAUAUCAAUAUGGCAAUCUCUUGGUUGGAAGCAAUAUUUCCUGAAUUAAGUCAGCAAUCUGCUGAAGGUGGGGAUUCGUUUGCUCUUAAAGCUCGGCCUUAUGCUUUUAUUGACUCGUCCAUAGUAUUGCAGGGGCCUCUACGUAAUUUUUGUCAUGGUGAAAAGAAAGAUACUCAAGUUCAGGAUGCGGAAGGUCAAGGGCGUGCAGUUAGUUUUCUUUAUAACUUAGUUAGCAAAGAUUCGGUUUUGGUAAUUGCUUGGAGUGGUGGACAACUACAAAUAGAUGCCUUCGCUGAUGAGAUCCAGCCAGUCUGGAAAGCUGGUAGUCCUCCUCGUCUUUUUGUUGAUUCAUGUGACCGCAUACUUGGUAUUGCUAUGAUUUGUGAGUCAGUUUCAAGUCAUCUCUCCUUUCCGGAGCCUGAUUCAACCCUUGAUCGUGAUGUUUGGAUGGGGCAUCCACCUCCUUUGUUGAGAUUGGCUAUUGUUGACUUAGCUUUACCAGGAAAAGGUGGUUCACAUAUUUCAAUGUCUGUUGAUCCUCUUAUGCCUGAAAGAACAUAUUGCUUUCAUAAUGGAGGCAUAGAUUCUGUUGUCUUGCACUUUCUGCCUUUUUCAAGUCAGUCAGAUGGCAAGGAUGGGGCAAGGAGAAGUCCAUCUGUAAAUCCUGUGAUCAGUGCCUGCCACGGAGAAUCUUCCUCAACACCUUCACUCUGUGGUUUCUUGGCUUUAGCAGAUUCAUUUGGAGAUUCAUGGAUUGUAGGAGUUACAUAUUCUCGAGAAUGUAUUGUGUUAGAGAUGGAGAAUUGGAAUUUGUUGCUUCCCCCAAUUGUUGAUGAGGAGAAAAACCCUGCUCUUGAGGAAGAAAAACAAUAUACCAAUAGUACAACUAUUAUUAGCAAGGAACUCCUUAGUGGCCCUAAAGUGGUUCUUCUGCCACCAUCAUCACCAAAUCUACGUUCUGUAACUGCAGACUCAAUUGAAGGGCGAUCUACUCUUCAUCAAUACUUCAAACUCUUUCAUGAAAAUUACAUGGAAUAUGCUUACAAGGUGUACUUUGAACUCCAGCACCAUGCACCUCAGCUGAAGAAGAUCAUUGACAACCAGCAUUCUCGUUUACAGAAAGCAGAACAAAAGCUUUUAGAAGUUGAAGAGAAGCAGGAAAAGUUAGAGAGUCGCAUUACCAAUGCAGUUCAGCAUUGCAAUGUCCUAGAAGAGCGCCUACUCAAAUUGAGAAACCUGCCUGGGAUACACAAAAAACCGCUUUCCAAAGCAGAGCGAGAUUUUAAAGCAGAACUAGACAGAUAUAAUGGCGUGGAAUUAGAUGCAUUGCGGUCAUCCAUUGAAGCUUUGGAUGCAAGGUUGAAAAGAUUUGAAAAUUCUCAACAGGCCAAUGUAUUGAACCAACAUACUCAAGUAUCAGGGAAGAGGAUGAAUUAUAUGCCAGCAGAGGAAGUAUCCAAGCUCAGAUCCUCGAUUGAAAAGCUUUCACUUGUCAAUAAUGAGAAUACUAAGAUGGUUAAACUCAUAGAGUCUGCUCUGAGAAACCUUGAAAUCAACAGCACUCAAUGAGGCAUUUGCAGGUCAAUUUAGCAUCGUUUUGCUGGCUCAUUGGUGGUCAAAUUGGACAAGUUCAAGCUUGCAAUCUACUCAGGGGAUGCUGUUUGCUUAGUAGCUAGAACCAUCUUUUUGCUACUGCUACCAUUGCUUCUGAUCUUACGAUCCUACGACUCGACAGUUCGAUCCUGUGAACCUCAAAAUGAUCCAAGGUGAGAUCCUGAUUUUGAGAACUUUGCUUUCAGAAGUUGCAUGAAAGUGGUCUGCGCCAGUUUUAGGCAGAUGAGCAAUUUUUGGUCUACGUUAUUGUAGUCAAAUAUGUCCGCACGUUUUUACGAGUGUUCUACAGCUGCCAUGAGAAAGUUUGUGUUACUGGACUCCUCCGAGGAUACUGAUGGUCUUUCAGUUUUCUUUAUGCCUUAUUAAGAUGCAAAAACCAGAGUGUCUCUCUGCCACAACCAUUGAACAUCAAUCUGCUAGAGAUGUUCCGCUUUGGAACUCAGGAAUGUUGAGCUUUCAGUUAAUGUCGUUUCCUGGGUGUAUUUGUUUCAUCGGUAAUGAAGUUGUGCCUCGGCUACUUCCCUCAUA